This 200-nucleotide ribosomal RNA is filed under the name uncultured organism. RNAcentral's name for it is "partial small subunit ribosomal RNA". It matches the Rfam family "Bacterial small subunit ribosomal RNA", at positions 1184 to 1382 of the family's 1533-position model. The record is from RNAcentral.
GUCAAAUCAUCAUGCCCCUUAUGACCUGGGCUACACACGUGCUACAAUGGACGGUACAAACGGUUGCCAACCCGCGAGGGGGAGCCAAUCCGAUAAAACCGUUCUCAGUUCGGAUUGUAGGCUGCAACUCGCCUACAUGAAGCUGGAAUCGCUAGUAAUCGUGAAUCAGCGAUGUCACGGUGAAUACGUUCCCGGGUCUU